GGGGGCUGAAGAAGGCAAGGACUGGUGCGAGGGGAGUAGCUGAGUAGCUAAGCUCUCGGGCAAAAGAAAGGCACCGUCCUAUCGGCAGAAUGAAGCCACGAAGGGAGAUUAGGGGGUUUAAAUAGCCGACGGAUCCUAGCGCAGUUAUGGCGGCGGGUGUUCCUGGGCCAACUGGUGCGUGCCACGUGUCCCGCAUGUCCCCCUCAUCGCUAUCGAGGGUUGACCGCUCACAAAUUUC
RNAcentral lists this long non-coding RNA (238 nucleotides) under Elaeis guineensis (African oil palm). RNAcentral describes it as "long non-coding RNA (EGUI_LNC052443)". Lineage: Eukaryota; Viridiplantae; Streptophyta; Magnoliopsida; Arecales; Arecaceae. The record is from RNAcentral.